Molecule: transfer RNA, 73 nt
Filed under: Ailuropoda melanoleuca (giant panda)
Lineage: Eukaryota; Metazoa; Chordata; Mammalia; Carnivora; Ursidae
Rfam family: tRNA
About the family: Transfer RNA (tRNA) molecules are approximately 80 nucleotides in length. Their secondary structure includes four short double-helical elements and three loops (D, anti-codon, and T loops). Further hydrogen bonds mediate the characteristic L-shaped molecular structure. tRNAs have two regions of fundamental functional importance: the anti-codon, which is responsible for specific mRNA codon recognition, and the 3' end, to which the tRNAs corresponding amino acid is attached (by aminoacyl-tRNA synthetases). tRNAs cope with the degeneracy of the genetic code in two manners: having more than one tRNA (with a specific anti-codon) for a particular amino acid; and 'wobble' base-pairing, i.e. permitting non-standard base-pairing at the 3rd anti-codon position.
Source: Rfam by way of RNAcentral
ACCUGGCUGGCUCAGUUGGUAGAGCUUGUGACUCCAGAUCUUGGGGUCAUGAGUUCAAGCCCCAUGUUGGGUG